Molecule: ribosomal RNA, 433 nt
Filed under: uncultured bacterium
Lineage: Bacteria
Description: partial 16S ribosomal RNA
Rfam family: Bacterial small subunit ribosomal RNA
Source: RNAcentral
AACGAACGCUGGCGGCAGGCCUAACACAUGCAAGUCGAGCGAGGACUUCGGUCCUAGCGGCGGACGGGUGAGUAACGCGUGGGAACGUGCCCUUUGCUUCGGAAUAGCCCUGGGAAACUGGGAGUAAUACCGGAUGAGCCCUUUGGGGGAAAGAUUUAUCGGCGAAGGAUCGGCCCGCGUUAGAUUAGGUAGUUGGUGGGGUAAUGGCCUACCAAGCCGACGAUCCAUAGCUGGUUUGAGAGGAUGAUCAGCCACACUGGGACUGAGACACGGCCCAGACUCCUACGGGAGGCAGCAGUGGGGAAUCUUAGACAAUGGGGGAAACCCUGAUCUAGCCAUGCCGCGUGAGCGAUGAAGGCCUUAGGGUUGUAAAGCUCUUUCAGCUGGGAAGAUAAUGACGGUACCAGCAGAAGAAGCCCCGGCUAACUCCGUG